AUCCACGGUGGUACAGUUACUAUUACACACCUAAAUUAUAAAUUUGUCCAUUCUUUCUUUUGACUUUCCAUUAUUCUCCCACCACCUCUCCCCAUUUGUCUCCGGUGGCCUUGCUGCUGUUUUGAACCACCGAUCCACCACCUCCGCUCCCCCACCACAAUGGUGCUGCUAGCAUCUCCAUUGAUUGUUCCUCACCACGAUGGAGAGAGAUUCUAAGAUGUCACAUAGUAUCUGCUUGUGCUAAACCACAAAUUAUUUAAUUAUUAUUAUUGUGUUUUCUACAUAAUCGUUGGAAUUGGCAUUAUUGUGUUUUCUACAUAAUCGUUGGAAUUGGCUUUGGUGAUUACUGGUGUCAAGUUUUAUAUAUUCCCAGCGCCAUGACUACAACUGAAGUCAGAGCCAAUUUCUCCAGGUUCAAAGCCAUUUGCAGAUCUCAUUAUUUAUUCUCACAUCUGUUUGAGGUUGUUGCUAGAAUUGGGGAUCUGCAACCCUAAAUCCCCAAAUUCGGAACCGCCAAGCACAGCAGCAACGCCGUCGCCGUCACCGACAACCAGUCCUCAUCUUCAUCCUCACUCCACAACGUCUACUCUGCUCCGACAUUGUCGAUCACCCCGUGAAUCCCCAAAACGNNNN
This 633-nucleotide long non-coding RNA is filed under the name Lotus japonicus. Its description in RNAcentral is "long non-coding RNA (LJAP_LNC000491)". Lineage: Eukaryota; Viridiplantae; Streptophyta; Magnoliopsida; Fabales; Fabaceae. The record is from RNAcentral.